Molecule: ribosomal RNA, 254 nt
Filed under: uncultured bacterium
Lineage: Bacteria
Description: partial 16S ribosomal RNA
Rfam family: Bacterial small subunit ribosomal RNA
Source: RNAcentral
UACGGGGGGAGCAAGCGUUGUUCGGAUUUACUGGGCGUAAAGGGCGCGUAGGCGGUCAGCACAAGUCAGUUGUGAAAUCUCCGGGCUUAACUCGGAAAGGUCAACUGAUACUGUGCGACUAGAGUGCGGAAGGGGCAACUGGAAUUCUCGGUGUAGCGGUGAAAUGCGUAGAGAUGUGGAGGAACACCAGUGGCGAAGGCGACUCUUUGGCCUGUAACUGACGCUGAGGCGCGAAAGCGUGGGGAGCAAACAGG